UUAUUUUCAACUCGUGCUAAAUGUUAUGAUAAUACUUUAUGUUAGCUCUUUUAAACCCAUGUUAGUCAUUCUUGUAAAUAUGAAUGACUAUGUGAAGUUGGAAUUUUGAUUCCCAUAUAAAAGAUAAGAGAACUAAAUCUCAGAUUUAGCAGUUUUCCCACAGUGGACACAGCUUUAAAAUGACAGGCUGGGUUUCAAUGUGAGGUCUAUCUGACUCCAAGGUACCUAUUCUUAUGCAAUAAGCUUUUUAUAUUUAAACUAGAUAUUCCAGGUUAAACAUUAGUUUUCAAGUUUUUGUGGUGUGUUAUUAUUUAAUUGGUUAGACACAUUGGUAAUUAUGAUUUUUUUUAAGUCUGUUCAGUAGAGAAAGAGCCUUAUGUGUUUUCACAAUAUCACUUUGCAAUAGGUUAGUAUGCGUUAGUGUGAAGGUAACAGAAAAUCUAAAAUGUCAAACCUUUUCAAAUAUGCAUUAUAUAUUACUUUAUAAAAGUAGUAUGGCUAAUACUUAGAAAAGGAAUUAAAAGUAAGGUUGUAACUCUAUACAGACGUCUACAGAAGUCAGUGAGGGAAGAGAUGUGUUCUAGGAAUUUGUGUGACUACUCCAAUCAGAGGGAUACAGUGCUACAUUUGAACAAAAGAAAUAGCUUAAUAAGAAAAGAUAGGGUAAUUUCCAGAGACACCCAGUUACAUGCUGGAUAAAAUGACCUCUAAUUAAUUGCCUGAGUAAUUUCCUGCCUUUAUACACAUAAUUUCACAGUAGAAAAUCCAGCUUCUCUAAUUAAUUUUUUUUCCUAAGAAUUCCUUUGAGAGAUUGAGAAAAAAAAGGUACUUACAGACUCAAGAUUUUGCAUAAACAUAAUGGAUUCCUUGGCUGUCUGGGAUCUGUUUGGGAUAAAUGUACAUUUUGCUUCAUACAGCCCCGUCUUUGAGUCAUAUCUGCAUUGUCGUGUUAUGCAGCUGUCCUUCUUGCAGUUCCGAACGACGUUAGUACCAGUAAUGUGAGUGGAACAUCUAUGAUGAAAGAAUUAGAUUAUAUAUAUAUAUGUAUAAAAUUUUAUGUAUUUAUGUAUAUAUAUGUGUGUGUGUGUAUAUAUAUAUAUGAAAAUUCAUGGCAAAUUAUGAAUGAAGACUAAUAUCCUAAAAACUUUCCUUCACUGACAACUGCCAUAGAUCACGUACCAAACAUUACAUUUUGACAAAAACAGGCACAAUAGUCUAUCUCAAUUUGUCAUCAAUUUCAAUAGAAACAAUGUCAGUUCAUAUUUAUUAAACAUAGAUUGGUCAUUUGAUCAAUAAAUCUAUUAUCCUUGUGACUUUGAGCUAAAGAUGAUAAUUCCUAAUUAUAGGGAUGUUGUAAAGAUUAGAUGAGUUAAAAGGUACAGCAGAAUUGCUUAUUAAUAGGGAAGGGAAAGUCAAUAUUAUGCUUAAAAUCCUCUUCAAUUCCAUAUGUGGUAUUCACUGUUUAGUGUUUAUAGCAUUUUGUAAUUUAUAUUUUGAGAACCACUUCACUAAACUGGUAGAACAAAUAAAAAUAAACCCUGCAUGGAAAGGCUCGUGCAUCAAACCAUUUGGUCUUUGCAGUAAAAAUAUAUGUCAAGUUCCUGGCAGGGAAAGAGGGCCAGAAUACAGGGAAAGGAUUCUAAAGAAGUUCCGUUUAUAUGCAGGGUAUCCUCCAAUUCUGUGUUAAUAUUAAACUUCAUAACAUGAAUCCAUUUUAAUGACUUUGUAUUGCAAGGAUUUAGGAACAUGGUGAGUCAUAUCUUCCCAGAGGGUUAGUUCUUGAGUAAGCCUAAAAAUUAAACUUACAUAUGAUGAGACUUCACUGCCUGAAAGUGCCUGACACACAGUAGGAGCUCAAUAAAUGUUUUAGGUACUUGUUUUUACUAAUUACUAUUUUUUGACUGAUUAUAAGGAAACAUUUAUUUUUCAUGAAUUUAUAAAAAAUUUAUUUGAUACCUUCUUUGUUUAACUUUUACUUUAUGCCAGGUCAAAGACCAGAGGAUUGAAAAAAUGUGCAGUUCUUAAGAAUUUUAAAGUCGAAUGGGGAAAAUAUAAUUGUAUAGACAAUUACUGCCCAGUGACAGAAGUGUGAGAGAAGCCCACACAUGCUUUGAGAGCACUCUUAAGGGAAUUUAACCCCAAAUGAAGGGAGAGGAAAGACAGUUGGAGUACAGUGGCUUGAUCAUAGCUCACUGCAGCCUCAGCUUCUAGCCUCAAGCAAUCUUCCUGAGUCAACGUCUUAAGUAGCUGGGACUAGAGGUCAUUGGAAUUAAAAUGCUUACAUUCCUGAAAUAAGCUCUUCGUUUGGUGGCAUAAAACAGAGUCAUUGGAGGUGAGUGUUAUCAUGACCACUGUGACUGUCAUACACUUCUACACGCUGAUGUCCUUGCCAAGGGUUUGUCUACAGAAGCUGUCAACUCUUGAGCCCAGCCACCAGCCUGUUGUGCUGCUGCUUACUCAACAAAAGUCUCAUGGAGAGAAUUGGUAGGUAGGUAGAAUUACCUCUACACUUGACCUCCGAUAGAUUCCAAUCUGUUACACCAGUGUGCAUGGUUGUUAAAAGUUCUGCUGGCUUUGCCUUACUUCAGCAGAGUUCCUCUGCUUAAAACACACCCUAUUUUUGUGCCCAUGCUUCCUCUAGGAAGAGUUUGUCCCUUUCUGGAAUUUAGUUUCUUAGAUUUAUAUAUGCAUAUAUGUAGCUUAUUCUCUCCCUUUUCUGAACACCAGCUCAUUAAUUUUGACAUUUAAAUAAACUAUAUAGAGUUUAUAUAUAAACUAUUUAUAAACCCUAUAUAACAAUUUAUAUACACUGAGAUGUCGAUCACCACCUGCAGAGAUCACCACCUGCAGACCCUGACUCAACGAUGGAUGAAUAAAUGCACUCUCACAUUCAUUACAGUGAUUCAAGUGGGCUAGGGAUGGUUGUCAGCUGCUUUCAGAGGGUGAUUGCAGCCAACUGACCAUGACUCCCUCUCCAUCCUCACAUUUAUUCAGUAUAAAUUUCAUAACAGGGGUUCUAAGUCUACAUGCUUGUGGAUAAUUACCAUGUUAAUUAUCCACGAAAGAGUGGUUUUACGAAUGAUAAAAGCUUUUGGUUCCAGGGCCCAGAGUAAACACCAUUGACAGGUAAUUCCCCUUUGACCUCUCCCUGAGAGGACCAUCAGCAAAGUUUACAUGAGCAAACAAAUUGGAGUAGAGACAAAGGAAUGUGGGCUAAACAGACUUAGCUGGGGAAACUUUAUUGCUGUAUCUUUUACCCUAUGACUUAAAAUUCUAAUGUAAUGAACUGGCUGCCUUCAGCCUGUUCCAUCAAAACCUUUUGGCCUUACAAAAGGUUUGAGACUGUAAUCUUCUAACUUUCCCCAAUAUUUUGCCAGUCAUUCCAAGUAAAUAUCAACAUACAGUUUACAUAUAAACUAUAUAUGUAAAUAGUUAAUUUAAAUGUUAAAAUAAAUGAGUUGAUGUUCAGAGAAGGGAGAGAAGUGAACUUGGAUUCAGGGAAGGGUUAAAUAGAUGUGACUGGAAUUAAGCCAAAAUUGGUUAGUGAGUACAAAAAUACUGUUUAGAUGGAAGGAAUGAAUUACUUUAUUUGAUAGCACUAUAGAGAAAUUAUAGUUAACAAUUUAUUAUGUAAUUGAAAAAGCUAGGAGAGAAGAAUUGUGGUAUUCUUAACACAAAUAAAAGAUAAAUGUUUGAAGUAAUGGAUAUCCCUAUUACUCUGAUUUGAUCAUUACGCAUUGUAUACAUGUAUCAAAAUAUCACAUGUACCUCAAAAAUAUAUACAGCUAUGAUAUAUCAAUACAAAUUCAAAAACAUUCUAAAAACAUCAAAAAGGACUAAAAGUUAGACACCUAAUUUUGUGCCAUGGAAAACAGCAUGAGAAGGGAGUAUAAACAUUAAAUAAAUAAAUUUGCCUAGUAAAAAAUUUGUUUAGAUACAAUUUUUUGUAUCUAAACAAAUGUAAGUCCCUGUAAGAUUCUAAUGGAGCUAACCUCACUCAAUGACAGUUUUCCAUUGCUCACAUGUUUAAUAAAGAGUCUGAAAACUUUCCAGUCUUAUAUAGUCUUAUGUUCAUAUCUAAUUAUUCAUAUCAGAUAUGCAGUAUUUACUGGAAUCAUAAAAAAAAAAACUGGUCCUAAAACCCAGAAGUUGACUGUUAAUUAUUGUUAUCUGGCAAGAUUUAUGUAACUUUAAUCAUAAGGUUCAUGAUAUGGUUUGGCUCUGUGUCCCCACCCAAAUCUCAUCUUGAAUUGUAAUCCUAAUUGUAAUCCCCAUGUGUUGAAGGAAUGAUCUAGUAUGAGGUGACUGUAUCAUGGGGGCAGGUUUCGCUAUGCUGUGCUAGUGAUAGUGAGUGAGUUCUGAUAAGAUUUGAUGGUUUUAAAAGUGGCCCUUCCUCUUUUGCUCUUUCUUUCCUGCUGCCUUGUAAAGAAGGUGACUCCUUCCCCUUUUGCAAUGAUUGUAAGUUUUCUGAGACCUCCCCACCCAUGCAGAACUGUGAGUAAAAUUAAACCUUUUUUGUUUAUAAAUUACCCAGUCUCAGGUAGUAACUUUAUAGCAGUGUGGAAAUGGACUAAUACAGUUCAUGAACUUGGAUUUAGAACUGGGUGACUUGUUAAACUCCCAUAAAGAUAUAAUAAUACUCGGACUGUUAAGUAUAAAUUAAAGGCCUGUAUAAAGUAAAUUUACUAUAUUUUCCUGGAGUCCACAGCCUGUCACCCACCAUAUUUUGAAUUUGAAGAUAUGUAGAGAGGAGAACAAAUUUUGUUUGUUAACAUGAUUUAUAACUUUUAAAUAUUUAAAUGUAUAUUCCUUGUACCAUAUUGUACCAUUUAUACACAAAUGUUAGGAAUGUGCCUCUUAGACUUAUUUUUUACUGUGCUCUUGCCAGUAGACUUUAUUCUGCUAGACUUUAUGGUUUCUCCCUGUUCCCUGCAUUCCAAGCUCUUUUUAUUUUAUUUUAUUUAAGAUAGUUGUGCCUUUGUUCUUGUCAUUCCCUCUUUCGGUAAUGCCCUUUUUUGCUUCCUGGUAGAAUCUCUCACAUUCUUCAAAGUUCAACUAAAAUGCUGCUUCUUGGGAAGCCCAUCUAACCAUUUGGUCAUUCCCUCCUCUGUGAUUGCACAGACAUUUUUAGUUGUUAUAUGUUAUAUCACCUACAACAUAUCACCAACUUUGCAAAACAGGUUUUUACUGUGUUAUUCCCAGUUAUCUUAUGAUAAACUCUAAAAUCCUUAGCGGCACUUGCAAGGACCUCACCUUAUCACAGCCCAAAUACUUAAUUCUUCAGUCUCAUCUCUUACUCUGGUCAGAUUAUUCCUUCUGUUUCUCAACUACUUGAGGAUCUCUUCUAAAGCUUUUUACACAUGCUGUUCCUUUUGCCUUGGGCAUUAUCUUCUACCCUUUUGGUGCCUCUCUACUCAUUCCUUCUUUAAGUUUUUAGCUAAAAAUUUACUUCUUUUGAGAAAUUUUCUAUGACUCAUUGAUUAUGUUAGUUCUUUCUGAUAUAAAAGUGCCCAUAGCUCUCUAUACUCUGCACUUAAACGGUAUAUUCUAUCUUUGUUCAUCCAUCUAUUAAUGCUAUUGUUUCCAUUGGAUUUCAUGAGUGUGCCUGUCUUGUUCACAGUUAUAUCCCCAUUACUUAAGCAUACAUCAGUUACUUUAAAGGCUUUGGCUAAACAUUUCUUGAUAGAGUGAAUGGAAGGAUGAAUUCAAAACUUCAUGAGAGAAGUCUUCCCACUCAUCUUAUUCUCCAAGUGCUUAUAUAAUGUCAGGCAUGGAGUGUGUACUGAAUGCUAUUGUUAAAUUUCAUUUUAAUAAAUAUGUUUCCUUUGUUUAUGACUUAUUUGCAGUGUAACACUUAGAAUUUUCAAGUAAACUUGGGUCAAUUUUACCAUUUAAAGUACUUUUAUGUUUUCUGUAUUUACCUGUAAUCUUCUAUGAAAUUUAGGAUUCUUUAUGGAUCUUUUUUUUUUUUAAGUUUGACAGCAAUUUAUUUGUCACUUAUACUGAUAGUCUGGGAGGGGACAUUGCACACAGGGCCACACAAGGUCUGCACUCAGGAGCAGAGUAAACAACCAGGGGCCAUGGAAGGCAAGCUUUUCAGUGUCAAGAGGGUGACUUGCCCCUUGGUUCCUGUGGGAAUAUGUGAUUGGCCUGUUUGAAUGAUUCCACAUGCUGGCAGUGACUGAAGCUUGCUCCUUGGGAAUAAACAAGAACUGUACUUGACCCCCAUGAUCAGAAGGGUUAUUGGCUAGGGAACCUUUUCUACACUAGUAGAGUAGGGAGGGGAACUUAUGUUAGGCCAUCUGAGGCCUGUCUGGUUUUCUUCAGAUAUAAAAACAAGCAUGCUAUGGGACCUUAGUUUUAGUCCUUGUACCAUUGUAGUACAUGUCACUAAAGGACCAAACAAAAAUAGAAAAGAAACUUUACAAGAUUUUAUUUGCAUAUGCCCUGUUCCUCCUUCAAUGUACCUGCUCUAGAGGUAAAGACACAUGUUAGUCCCUCCCCUUUUAUGUCCCUUCAUAAAGCCUUGGAUAAUGCCAAGUUCUUUUUGAUGGAUACCACAAUAACCAGUGACUUAAUAAAUGUUAUUGUUUGAGGAAGCCAAUCUUUAUUUGAGUAGCUAUUGCCAGCCAACUUUUUUUUAAUGUUUUAUUUUUAUUUAUUUAUUUAUUUUAUUGCUUUUAAGG
Non-coding RNA from Callithrix jacchus (white-tufted-ear marmoset), 6686 nucleotides. The record is from RefSeq and is a predicted model, not a curated record. Lineage: Eukaryota; Metazoa; Chordata; Mammalia; Primates; Cebidae.